CCAAUCACAUCCAACAGGAUUAACUGUGGACGCUGUAAGAGGAAGCUGUCUGAAAGGGAUGUUCGGGUGCUAACCCGGAUUGUAUCCAAAAAACAUAAAACAACGGCUGAUCAAAUCACGCAGAAUUCAAUGUGCACCUCAACUCUCCUGUUUCCACCAGAACUGUCCGUCACCACAAUCAAUUACUGUGCUCUAAAACCAGGUGUUUCAGUUUUAUUGUCCAACCCCUGUAUGUAUGUGUGUGUUAGACGUGUGGAGAAAUAGGCUUUUCUAACUGGUUCAGUUCAGUGAUUUAUUUGGUUUUAUUUGUAUUUUGUUGGUUUAAUUUGAUUUGGUUUGGCUGUGGAGCAUCGCUACCUAAAACAUGAUGAUAAAACUACGUGACUCGUUAUGUGACUUACGAUCGAUCGCUGACCAGCAGUGAUUUCUUUAUGCAACUCAAUAAACUUGUCAUGACUGUA
Molecule: long non-coding RNA, 461 nt
Organism: Astyanax mexicanus (Mexican tetra)
Lineage: Eukaryota; Metazoa; Chordata; Actinopteri; Characiformes; Acestrorhamphidae
Exons: 2
Source: RefSeq, a predicted model, not a curated record